AUGUACAUUCGUACAACAUAGCGUUAAUGCACCAGAUCCCAUUAGAAACCUGCAGUUAAGAGCGCUUAGGCUAGAGUAGUAUUGGGAUGGGUGACUGCCCGGGAAGUCCUACUGUUUUACAUG
Picea glauca (white spruce) is the source of this 123-nucleotide non-coding RNA. NCBI's taxonomy places the organism in Eukaryota, Viridiplantae, Streptophyta, Pinopsida, Pinales, Pinaceae. The record is from Rfam.